RNAcentral lists this microRNA (21 nucleotides) under Cordylochernes scorpioides. The record is from RNAcentral. Lineage: Eukaryota; Metazoa; Arthropoda; Arachnida; Pseudoscorpiones; Chernetidae.
GCUCUGGCAGCGUCGUCUCUA